Molecule: long non-coding RNA, 1340 nt
Filed under: Equus caballus (horse)
Lineage: Eukaryota; Metazoa; Chordata; Mammalia; Perissodactyla; Equidae
Description: lncRNA (ENSECAG00000048218.1)
Source: RNAcentral
CCCAGCCCUUGCCACCUGCAGCUCUGCAUCAUUAACUGCAUCUCCUUUAAUUUCAUCUCGUUCAUUUAAAAUGUUAGACUCGGAAUGUGAGUCCUGGAGGCACCUAAGCAUUGUCUCUUCAUCGACUCUGUUUUACAAAUGGGGACACUGAGGCCUUGGUGGGCUGACUGCCUUGUUUCAGCCUCCUUGGUUCAGGCUCCUAACUCAAGGAAGCAACAGAAACCUGAGCAGCAGACUCAUUUGGUGUUCCAGCGUGUUCCAGAUGCUGGGCGCACAGUCCAAGAACAGGGUAGAGCCCCUCCCCAGCUUCCUUUCUGGAAGGAGCAUAGAAAUCUGCAUAUGAUGACAGUGCAGGAGACCCACACGGGCUGUGAUAGAGAUAAGGGGACUUAGGGAGGAACCCCCCGGGACUCCUAACAGUUGCCACCACCUUCAACCGACCUUAGACCUGCUAGCAGAGAUGGGAAGAGAGCAGAAGGAGCAGCUUCUAGGGCGGGGGAGGAAAAUGCCCCAAUCAGAGGGGCUGCUCCAGGCAAUCUGCACUCACCCCAGGACACUUGCCAUGGAUGAGAUAUGAGAGGACUUACUCGAGGCCCCCCGCCUUGCUGAGAACCAAUCGACAUCGGCCCUGACCUGUACCACCUCCCCACUCCUGGCUCAUCUAGCCCCUGGGACCCGGCCCCAGGUGCUCCCAGCAUCAAUCACCAAGCAGGAAUUUCUCAAGAACUACUAGACAGCAGGACUGCAGCAUGCCCGGGGUUACAGAGAUGAACAAGUGUGGCCCUGAGCUCACGGUCCUGAAGACACAUUCACACUCUGCGUGAGGAAGACACGCCAGCUGCCACCACUCCACCAGCCUGGCAGGGCUCCGCUCCCUGUGGGGACAGCAAAGGCUCGGCCCUGCCUAAUGAGCUCUCGCAAAACCUGGGAUGCCGUUUGGUUCCCUUGGUGGCCCUGUGGCCAAGUCAGGACUCAGCUCGGGCGAUGGUGAAUGCUGGUUGUAGGUCAGACACCCCUGAAUAUUGGCAAGUUCCUACAGUUAAGCCUCCUAAGAACAGCAAUCUUUAUGCAGCAAUUACCUGUGCUGGGCACUAAGGAAUUACGCCUGUUAACUCCAUCCCCUCCGGCCCCCGAGAGAGGGGCUAUUACUCUGCUUUAUAGGCGCGGAUCCACUUCACGCGCUUGUAUGUGAGAUAACGAUCUUCACCCAAGUAAAGCUCUUCGUUGAUUGCAUUCUGUUCUCUCCUGCUUCCAGUUUUCCUCUUGGUAUUUCGUGUAUUGUUUAACUCUUUAAAAAUUUUCUAAAAUUCUUUACUUUGAUGUAUGGUCUUGAAACUUUU